GACGAACGCUGGCGGCGUGCUUAACACAUGCGAGUCGAACGGAAAGGCCCUGCUUUUGUGGGGUGCUCGAGUGGCGAACGGGUGAGUAACACGUGAGUAACCUGCACUUGACUUUGGGAUAACUUCAGGAAACUGGGGCUAAUACCGGAUAGGAGCUCCUGCUGCAUGGUGGGGGUUGGAAAGUUUCGGCGGUUGGGGAUGGACUCGCGGCUUAUCAGCUCGUUGGUGGGGUAGUGGCUUACCAAGGCUUUGACGGGUAGCAGGCCUGAGAGGGUGACCGGCCACAUUAGAAUUGAGAUGCGGCCCGGACUCCUACGGGAGGCAGCGGUGGGGAAGAGUGCACAGUGGGCUGAGGCCUAAUGCAGCAACGCCGCGUGCGGGAUGACGGCCUGCGGGUUGUAUUCCGCUUUCGCCUGUGACGAGGCGUGAGUGACGGUAAUGGGUAAAGAAGCACCGGCUAACUACGUG
RNAcentral lists this ribosomal RNA (468 nucleotides) under uncultured bacterium. RNAcentral describes it as "partial 16S ribosomal RNA". It matches the Rfam family "Bacterial small subunit ribosomal RNA", at positions 28 to 507 of the family's 1533-position model. The record is from RNAcentral.